Molecule: ribosomal RNA, 198 nt
Filed under: uncultured bacterium
Lineage: Bacteria
Description: partial 16S ribosomal RNA
Rfam family: Bacterial small subunit ribosomal RNA
Source: RNAcentral
ACGCUCGACACCUACGGAAGGCAGCAGUGGGGAAUAUUGCACAAUAGGGGAAACCCUGAUGCAGCAACGCCGCGUGAGUGAAGAAGUAUUUCGGUAUGUAAAGCUCUAUCAGCAGGGAAGAUAAUGACGGUACCUGACUAAGAAGCUCCGGCUAAAUACGUACCAGCAGCCGCGGUAAUCUGAGCGGGCUGGCAAGGC